GUCGAACGGUAGCACAGAGGAGCUUGCUCCUUGGGUGACGAGUGCCGUACGGGUGAGUAAUGUCUGGGAAACUGCCCGAUGGAGGGGGAUAACUACUGGAAACGGUAGCCAAUACCGCAUAACGUCGCAAGACCAAAGAGGGGGACCUUCGGGCCUCUUGCCAUCGGAUGUGCCCAGAUGGGAUUAGCUAGUAGGUGGGGUAACGGCUCACCUAGGCGACGAUCCCUAGCUGGUCUGAGAGGAUGACCAGCCACACUGGAACUGAGACACGGUCCAGACUCCUACGGGAGGCAGCAGUGGGGAAUAUUGCACAAUGGGCGCAAGCCUGAUGCAGCCAUGCCGCGUGUAUGAAGAAGGCCUUCGGGUUGUAAAGUACUUUCAGCGAGGAGGAAGGUGUUGUGGUUAAUAACCGCAGCAAUUGACGUUACUCGCAGAAGAAGCACCGGCUAACUCCGUGCCAGCAGCCGCGGUAAUACGGAGGGUGCAAGCGUUAAUCGGAAUUACUGGGCGUAAAGCGCACGCAGGCGGUCUGUCAAGUCGGAUGUGAAAUCCCCGGGCUCAACCUGGGAACUGCAUCCGAAACUGGCAGGCUAGAGUCUUGUAGAGGGGGGUAGAAUUCCAGGUGUAGCGGUGAAAUGCGUAGAGAUCUGGAGGAAUACCGGUGGCGAAGGCGGCCCCCCUGGACAAAGACUGACGCUCAGGUGCGAAAGCGUGNGGAGCAAACAGGAUUAGAUACCCUGGNAGUCCACGCCGUAAACGAUGUCGACUUGGAGGUUGUGCCCUUGAGGC
RNAcentral lists this ribosomal RNA (789 nucleotides) under uncultured bacterium. RNAcentral describes it as "bacterial SSU rRNA". It matches the Rfam family "Bacterial small subunit ribosomal RNA", at positions 61 to 838 of the family's 1533-position model. The record is from RNAcentral.